GACGAACGCUGGCGGCGUGCUUAACACAUGCAAGUCGAACGGAAAGGCCCUGCUUUUGUGGGGUGCUCGUGUGGCGAACGGGUGUGUAACACGUGUGUAACAUGCCCUUGUCUUUGGGAUAUCUUCUGGAAAAUGGGGCUAAUACCCCAUAUGAGAUCUUGCUGCAUGGUGGGGGUUGGAAAGUUUCGGCGGUUGGGGAUGUUCUCGCGGCUUAUCCGCUUGUUGGUGGGGUUGUGGCUGACCAGGGCUGCGACGGGUAGGCGGCCUGGGAGGGGGACCGGCCACAGUGGUACUAAGAGACGGCGCAGAAGGCUACGGGACGCAGCGGGGGGGAAUAUUGCACAAUGGGCGGAAGCCUGAUGCGGCGACGCCGCGUGCGGGAUGACGGCCUUCGGGUGGAAAACCUCUUUCGACGGUGACGAAGCGUGAGUGACGGUAAUGGGUAAAGAAGCACCGGCUAACUACGUG
RNAcentral lists this ribosomal RNA (468 nucleotides) under uncultured bacterium. RNAcentral's name for it is "partial 16S ribosomal RNA". It matches the Rfam family "Bacterial small subunit ribosomal RNA", at positions 28 to 507 of the family's 1533-position model. The record is from RNAcentral.